Molecule: long non-coding RNA, 1330 nt
Filed under: Equus caballus (horse)
Lineage: Eukaryota; Metazoa; Chordata; Mammalia; Perissodactyla; Equidae
Description: lncRNA (ENSECAG00000044445.1)
Source: RNAcentral
CUAAGUUUUACUAGACCUGAGAACCUGGAUCUAGAAGACAAAAGAAAUAGAGAAUUGCUUUUGGUUCAGAAAUUGUAUUGGGUUAGAAUGUCUCAUUUCAAUAAGUCUAAGUCUGUAUUAGUUUUUGAAUUUGACAAUAAUAUAAUUUAUGAGAAAUACUAUAAUCUUCUGAAAUAGAAAAAGAGAGGGCAUGUACUGUGUAGACUAAAACAAAGAGUUUCUGUUGAUCCAUAGGCUGUAGAUUUAUUUUGGAAUCUUCCCUCUGAAUGGUUAACGGGGUGAAGGUGGGAGGAAGGGUGUGUCCCCCACAGGGCAACGGGAAAAUAGUUCUUGGAAGACAAGCUGAUCUGUGUUCAAAACCUCGCUCUGCUGUGUAAUAGACCUAUAUCCUUGGGAAGAUGACCUAACUUCUCACACAUCUUAAUUCAGAAUAGCCAUACUUCAGGUGCUCAAUAACCACUUGUGACUAGUGGCUACUCUACUGGACCAUGCAGACCUAGGUGCUUUUUAUCAAGGAAAAAGGGAAGAGGGCAGAACUCUAAAAAACUGAAGAUUUGCCCUGAAAGAGCUUCUUUUAAACUGUUAGGAAAUUGUUUAUACUGGCAGAAACUGAGAUAGAGUUAACUAAAGAGGGUAUCCAUCAGGGUUCUGACGUUCAAGUGAUAGAACCACCCUGGUUAAUUUAACCAGAAAAUCAGAUUUAUGAAGGCUAUUAGAUGGUUAAGAAUCUCUGUGACUGCUGGAAAACUAGACUUGGAGGCUGCAUCUUCAGAGACAAAGUGCAAAUCAUUCUGCAGAACUGGUACAUCAAGACAGCACUGCUGAGAAUGAGUAUCUUCACUGGAACUGCUUCCAUGAUCAAUGCUGACAACAGAGAUAAUGCUGGAACCCUUUCCACUGGUGCUGCCUUUGGGAAAUGGACGCAACUGCUGCCUUCACUGCCAAAAUUGACAGGAUGGAUUCUACACACUCCCUGCUUCUUUGCAUCCCAGCUUCUAAGCCAAGGUCUAGUGUGUGUGUAUCUUUUUGGGCAGAACCUAGGUCAUGUGACCUAGCUUCAAGGAAAGCUGGGAGAAAAGGUUCAGUCCCUAGAGUGAGCAGUGGUCCCUGCGUCUCAUCAAGGUUCAUUCAGGGAUCUCUCCACAUGUAGAGAGGGAUGGGGAGGGAGGAUUAUAAUAGUCUAAAGAAAGACGAUGUCCACCUAACAAGCUUGGGUUUUCCAGCUAUCCAGUGGGACAGGAUGGGGGCUCCUGAAGAAGAUUUAAAAUUUUUAAAAAUUGCUGUAAAAAUAUUAAGUAUAUAUAAAAUCUUUUCUUCCUAAUAUGAAUGU